GGGCCAUUAUUUACUUAUUAUAUUCAGCCGUUAAAUGUCAACUUUUUAGGACAAAUGUAUAGCUGACUCUCUCUGCUUCUCAUGAAGACUCGUUUUGUUGGCCAAAUCCUAUUAAAGCCUCGCUGACCCCAAGAAGUUGAAUCUGAACCCCGCAAAUCUCAAUACUUUUUAUCUCUUGGGUGCUCAUUUUGGUUGAGCAAAGGAGCCUCCCUCAAUUCUAAGACUCCUCCCCACUUCCUCCUUUUCUCCUAGUAACUCUUGCCACUGGCCAAAGAUUUAUUAGAGCCUAGUUUUGUCCCUAUGCCUCUUG
This 310-nucleotide long non-coding RNA is filed under the name Bos taurus (domestic cattle). RNAcentral's name for it is "long non-coding RNA NONBTAT025332". The record is from RNAcentral. Lineage: Eukaryota; Metazoa; Chordata; Mammalia; Artiodactyla; Bovidae.